RNAcentral lists this unclassified non-coding RNA (881 nucleotides) under Hevea brasiliensis (rubber tree). Lineage: Eukaryota; Viridiplantae; Streptophyta; Magnoliopsida; Malpighiales; Euphorbiaceae. The record is from RNAcentral.
GCUGGCUAGUUUCUUCCUUUUGUGAAUAAUAAGUAUGAUACUCUAUCCCUUCGUCUAAUAGCAUCACCUUAACUCCAUUUACCACCAUGAACUGGAGUCUUGUUUUGGCUUUUUCUUUUACCCUUCUUUAAAAGCAUAGACACAUGGUUAAUAUCUCUUGAGGAUGAAUGGACCUCACCCUUCAACCACAGCAGAGCCUCAGCGGCAGCAUCCUUUUCUGCAAGUUUUUUACUACUGCAAGGCUGCCCCACAAAGUCCAACCCAUUAAAGAUCACAGUGGAGCGAAACUGGUUGUUUUUCAGUUGUUUUGUCUUAUAGGAGGGUGCUCCAUGUCCAGCCCUGACAAGCAAAGUUUGUAGCUCAUUUUUAGAAUUAUCAUAUGGCUGUUUGCCAGUCAUUGCAUCUUUCAUUGCCUUCUGUGAAGGUGCUGGCAGCUGGCGACCAAAUACAAAUUUACCCUCACAUUGAUCCUGUGAAACCAGUAAUCUUAUUGCCAUCAAGAGCUCAUUGUCAGAUUGUAUAUCCAAGUUGGGGUCUUGAAGUUUCUUCCGAAUUAGUUCCUCAAGCUCUCUCUUCAAGCUUAGAUAUGUAUUUCCCAAGGCAGGUACCAUAAAAAAUUCCAAGUAUCCUCCCAACAUUUUUAGGUGUCCAUCCAGUCCACCUCUUGAAAGGUCUCCUCCGAAUAAAAGCAACACAGAAUCAGAUACACCAGUAGAAUCCCGGAGAAACACAGAAUUCACUUUCACUUUUUCAUUAAAAACUAACCACGGGUAUGGAAUUUUGUGUACCCCAGCAUUCACAGAAUUCGAAUACAGAAGUACUUGACCAUCCUCCAUUGUUUUCAAUGCUAUAGACUUAUCCUUGUUCACAACAGAACAUAU